RNAcentral lists this unclassified non-coding RNA (6902 nucleotides) under Helicoverpa zea (corn earworm). Its description in RNAcentral is "mitogen-activated protein kinase kinase kinase 15, transcript variant X2". The record is from RNAcentral. Lineage: Eukaryota; Metazoa; Arthropoda; Insecta; Lepidoptera; Noctuidae.
UGUUAAAUAACACAAGCCCGCACAAAUACUUGUUGCGGAAUUUAUUUUUUAUGCUGCGUAAAUUGAAUGUGAAAUGUGUGUAUAAACUAUCCAAAUGUUAAUAAACACGUGAGAAAAUGAUAACAUUCGGCGGUGGGAACAAUUCCACAGCGUUAGAAGAUACAGGGGAAGUGAGAAGUAUCUGCGAGAGUGUGUGCAGCGAUGGGUCCAGCGCGACCGUGCAGCCCGGGGGCUCCAACCAGCGGCCUCGGAUGGAUAUAGCAUGUGUUUUGGAUGUAACCCAAACAUUGAAUCUUGCUCAUAGGAAAAGAGCUCUAGAAGAAGUUCGAUUGGCAUCUGAACUGGUCAAUGCCAAUUUGCAUCAUAUACAUUUUGAAAAGCUCGACUUCGGUGAGACAAAUGUGCUGGACACGUUCUACAAUGCUGAUGUGGCACUGGUGGAUCUCAGCUUGCAGCUGCAGCAGAGUUCAUUGUUGUACCAUCUGGGAGUACGGGAAAGCUUUGACAUGAAGGAAAAUGUUCUGCUGUACAAUGAUGUUGAUGCGGACUCCACGCUCAGGCUUAAGUUAUCUCUUCCGAAUUUCCUGUUCGUGUCAUACAAACUCACGGAUGCUGGUACCUGUGUGACCACCAACCCUGCUGCUACGAAGUUCAAGGGUGAGGAUUCAGCUGAUCCCAAACAGCAUCUGACCUUGAGGUUGAGGAACAUACUUCAAGAUGUUGAGGUCCAGACGAAAGCCCACCUCCAAGAGAAAUUCCUAUCAGACUUACGGAAGGCGCGCGAAACAUACACCGGUAUCGAACUUGCAAACAUGUUACACGCUAUGCGCAGACGCCUCGACGACCCAGCAGUCCUUUCAGGAGAUACCAUACUUAACAUGCUUAUAUCCUACCGUGAAAUACAGGAUUACGAUGCCAUAGUACAUGUGGUAGACGACCUCAAAACCAUAAUGAACAGAAAAAAUUACGUCAACAUGCCUAUAAUAAGGUUCAUGUACGCCUUUGCUAUGAAUCGUCGCAAUAAAGAAGGGGACAGGGAGAAUGCUCUAAAAGUCUGCGUGAAAGCGUUAGAGAAGAAAGAGAAUAGAUUCCCCGAUAUGUUGUGCCUUUGUGGCCGUAUAUACAAGGAUAAAUUCGUCGAAUCUCAACACACGGAUAAGGAAAGCUUGGAUCAUGCUAUACAUUGGUACAGACAGGGUUUCGAAGUGCAGCCAAACGAAUAUGCGGGCAUUAAUUUGGCAACACUACUCGUUAUAGCUGGCAAUGAUUUUAAAAACUCACAGGAAUUACAGCACAUUGGAAUGGUAUUGAAUCAUCUAAUAGGCAAAAAAGGCAGUCUAUCAUCUCUCAAAGACUACUGGGACGUGGCUACCUUCUUCGAAAUAUCAGUACUGGCCCAAGACUAUGUGAAAGCGAUACAGGCAGCAGAAUGUAUGUUCAAACUCAAACCACCGAAUUGGUAUCUCAAGUCUACUAUUGGGAAUAUCGAAUUGAUUGAUAGAUUUAGGAAAAGUGAAGAUAUAUCACCAGAACAGCAAGUAUUUUCUUUCUGGAUGGAAUACUUCGUAGAGGCAACUAAAAGUGAAUGUGAAAAUAUUAUUAGGUUUCCUGUGUUAAUAUUAGAAACAACAAAAGAAUACAUACCGUCUUACGUAAAUGUGAACAUGGGUGCGGAACAAAAAUCCGUAGAAAUUCUCAACUUGUGCUUAGAAUCUAUGCGGGGCCAGUGUCGACGAGUACAUCGGUGGCUUUUCACUUCCGAUAUGAUUAGGAGCUACAGUUUAUACAAACGCGAUGAGCGUUGCCUCUUUCUGUACGUGAGCGAGAAUUCUGACGACUUUCAAAUCUUUCUGCCGUCUCAAGCGUGUCGACAGCGCUUACAUGAUCUUUUAGGAGAACUGACGGCAGACCAUGAGAAGGUCACUGAUUUGGAUACCAGUGUCAUGCAAGAUCAAUUAAAGUUCGAAUACGAGCUAGACGACAACAACAAACGCGUGGUCCUAGGCAAAGGUACCUACGGCGUAGUGUACGCCGCUCGGGACCUCAACACACAGGUCCGCAUCGCCGUCAAGGAGAUCCCCGAGCGCAACCUCGGCGACGUGCAGCCGCUGCACGAGGAGAUCCUGCUGCACUCGCAGCUGCGGCACAGGAACAUUGUGCAGUAUUUAGGUUCAAUAUCAGAAGACAACUACUUCAAAAUAUUCAUGGAGCAAGUACCUGGAGGUUCGUUGUCCGCACUGCUUCGGUCCAAGUGGGGCCCGCUCAAAGAGAAUGAAGCCACCAUAGCUUAUUAUACCAAACAAAUAUUAGAAGGAUUAAAAUACCUACACGACCAAAAAAUUGUUCACCGCGACAUAAAAGGCGACAAUGUCCUAGUGAAUACAUACAGUGGAGUUGUAAAGAUAUCGGAUUUCGGUACUUCAAAGCGUCUAGCUGGGUUGUGCCCUUCGACGGAAACUUUCGCGGGAACAUUGCAGUACAUGGCUCCUGAAGUUAUUGAUAAGGGACAGAGAGGGUAUGGAGCGCCGGCUGAUAUUUGGUCACUGGGUUGCACAGUGGUUGAAAUGGCGACGGGAAAUCCGCCGUUCAUUGAAUUAGGCUCACCUCAGGCAGCUGUUUUCAAGGUGGGUUACUACAAGAUGCACCCAGAGAUUCCAAGCGAACUAUCAGCCAAAGCAAAGAACUUUAUACUGCGAUGCUUCAUACCGGAGCCCGAACAACGUGCUACGGCCGCCGAACUGUUAGAAGAUCCCUUCUUAUGCGAAAAGAAAAAGCCUUCAAGUCGUCUUGGCAGUAAUAUGGAUUAUAGUCGGAGCAUUUCAGUGCCUGCGGACAAGGCCCGCCCAGUUACAGCUCAGAAGAAAAUAUCCGAAUCAAGCAUACCUUGUAAUCUGCCUAGCUCCCCAGAAAUCGAUACUAUGCCCAACACGCCGUCUACUGAUGAAAUGGAGGGCAGCGAUACGCUUCUAAAUCGUAGAAGUUCAUCUGGUGGCCUGCUUUCUCCAGAAGUGGAUAUGCCAAAUGCGUCUCGUUGUUCAAUAGACGGUCCCGAACACGAUGGCUUCUACCUUCUAAAGAAGGACUCUCAACGAAGACUGACCCUGUCUCGCGUAUUGGAACAAGACUCAGAGAAAAUUUGUUCCAAAUGGAUGCUCAGUAUACACCAGGACUUUGGCACUACUGUGCUUACAAUGACCCACCUCGAAAUGCUCCGCUGUGCCCUCAAAGAGUACAUAAUGGAUCAAAACAGAAGCGUCAUAGAGCAAGCUAUUAUUACUCUUAAAGAAGAACUGGACUUUGAUUCAAAUGCCAUCAAUGAGCUUCAUUCAGCCAUCUACAUGUUUCAAGAAGCUGUGAACGCAGUAUUGAGGAUGCAUAGCAUAAAACCUCAUUGGAUGUUCGCUUUGGAUAAUUUAGUUAGGAAUGCUGUUCAGGCUGCUAUUACUGUGUUGUCGCCAGAGCUAGGCGCCAACCUAGCGGGCCAGGAGGGUCGUCGCGGCGGCGCGGCGGCGGCCGACGCCACGCCCUCCGCGCUGUCCUCCGAGCACUGCGCCCGCGACGCGCAUGCGCUGCACGACCUGCGCCACGAGAACCACAAAUUACACCAAGAGCUAAUAGAAAGUUACCAGCAGAAUCAGAGUCUGCUGCGACAGAUGUUAGAAGACCAGAAAGCGCACAUGAUGUUACUUAAAGAAAUCGUCGAAAAGAAGUCGAGAAGUGUAACCCCAGAAGUAUUCUCCAGCCAAAGCGAGUUAGACGGUGACGUGACAGACGGGGUCGACGAGACCGAGGCGACAAAACUACGUGAGUGGGUGGCCGCGAGAGGGUUACCCACUGUCGUCGCUAAUGCCUUGCUGCGGCAUUGCUAUGUGUUACCUGAUCUAUUGAUGCAUGCUCAGAGGGAGGAUAUCGCCAGGUUGAAUUUGAAAGGUGGCAUCGAACUCCGACUAUGGCGAGCGAUCCAAGAACACCGCCUACACAACUCCACCCACCUCCGUCGCACAAGCAGCACAGAAACCGACAUAGACACGAAUUCCAUCGUCGUAGUCGACUGCCAACGCUGCAAGGCGAACCGUAGAACUCUCUCGAACAAUUCCACUUGUUCUAACAACCCUACCAUAGUAAUAAGAGACCAGGUGAAUGGAGACGAAACCGUUGCCGAGUACUAUGGCGAAAACGGGGUCGUCAACCUUUGACUACUGCGCGGAUGGUGCACUCUGCAAUAAGGUCUCUUUUGUCACGGCCAGGGGGUGUCAAUCUUUGGUACUACAUGUAGAUUGGUGUUUCCAUAGAUUUAGAAUUGUUCUACCGUUUGAUAGAUCGGCAAUGCGGGACAGAUAACUGUAUAUGUGGUAUGAGCCCAAAAAAUUGAUGCUCUAGACAUGGCCCCAUAUGUAUCAAACGCAAAUUUUAUCCAAAAUAUUCUAUGUUUUAAUAUAGAAUAUCGCGAAUAAAAUUUGUCGCGGGUAAAAUGUUCUACGAUCAAAAUCUAGACGCGCAACAGAUACCCAUUUUUAAGUUGAGGAAAGGAUCACAUAUUUAAUCACACAUGAAAAAGUCACUCUACUAAUCAUUUUUAAUUUCUCUGAUAAUCACUCGAUUGCCGAUAUAUCUUCUAUUCUAUGUCUAUGAGUACUACAAUGUAGAUUUUUUCAGUUAGUAGUUAUGUUGUGCUCAAUACUGAAUAGCAAUACCAUUGACUACUUGGUCGUUUUGUGUUGGUAAAAUGAUAAGCAAUUUUGAGACAAUAUCUUACCAUUAAAUUCUGCAUGUUUUAAAUGUUUGUCAGUGUAAAAGAAAUUUGAAUGAAAGAAUGUCACAAAUGUCGAAAUUGUAUGGUCAUAACAUUAGUGUGCUGUAGCAAUAAUAAAAAUUAACACAAGUAGUUUUGGAAUAUUAUAGUUGUUUACAUGUUCAAAUUGCUAUUUCUAAUAAAAAAUUGUAAUAACACCGCUUGAGGCCUAGAGUGUGUCAUCCGAAUAACAACCGUGUAAAUAUAGCUUCGUAUUUAUUAAUAUAUUGUUACUAGUCUCUGUAAAUAAUUAUAAUUUUCUUGUUGUUAAGCAUAAUAAUAAGGUACCGCUGAACGAAAAUUAAUUUUCGUAGUUUUGCACAAAACAUCGCUUAAAUGGUGCUACCGCGUUGUGAGUCGUUUAGUAACAAGUGCCUUCAAUGUGUUAUUAAAUGAAAAAAGUUAUGCAUAUUAUAAAUAUGUAAUUUAAAUAAUGACUGUCACUAAAUAGAAGAGUUUCUCAAUAUAGACCUGUAGCUUUUUUGCUUUGAUAAUUUCCCGGGAUAUUCUAUCGUACAUUAAUCACAUGAAAAAAGGACUAGUGAUGUCCAAUUAUCGAAACUUUGACUAACGCUGAUCCUUUUGUGUAAUUAAAACACCAUGUUUAAAAUGGUUGAUAGUGGAACAUGAAACGACAGCACUAAAUCAUUGUCGAUAAUUUGCACUACCAGCACUAUAAAUAAAAAUAUUGGAAGACAUCUAGAUGAAAUGUUUCAUGGAAGGUAAAAGUGACUUGUCGGUCUCAAUCUUGUGACAUUUUCAAUUAUUCAUCACCACCUGAAACAUUUCUCUUACAGCAAUUCACCUACAAGCAUUGCUUGCUAUUGCCCCACACUAAAUCGAGUAUACAACACUAUAAGAUAUACAAUAAAUAUAUAUUUAUCCUAAGAAGCUAUGUAACUUCUGAGUGCCAUACGUACAUAUUUUCUUAUAUAAUAAAACUGUAUAUUUUCUUAAGAAUAAUGUUUACUGUUAUUUACUAAAGAUUUUAUUAAAAAACUUAUCAAUAAUCAACGUGAUCUGAAAAAGCUUAAAUAUAAUAAUAAUAAUUCAGAAUUAUUAAUUAUCGCUAGUAUUACUAAGAUAUUGGGUCGGAGUUACGUAACUGAUUAAACGUAUAUAAUGUAAGUCGCAAUGGCUUCUAUAACCAAAUAUGUAAUAAUAUUCAAUGUUUAUUGUCAGUUUGUAAGGGCUAGAAGCUAAUAUAAAUGGUACUACUGUUAUUAAAAUAAAAACUAAAUCUUCGUAUGAAUGGUAAAUUUGUAUAGCAACAAUUGCUCAACAUUUUUGAUCUGCAACGAGAAUGUUGCGUCGGCCGAGAACUUGUCAACUAUUAUUAUGUAUUCUGUAACACGCAAUGUUGCCAGCAAUUUGUUGAUGCAAUUUUGAGUAUAAUCCAAAGUUUACCCUGGAGUAAUAUUUUCUAAUAUUUUGGAAAACAAUGUUUCACUUUGUGAACUAUUAAUCAAGAACCGAUUUUAAUAGUAAUUAUGUUUAAUAGUUCUAGCUCUUCAAAAACUCAAACUAAUGAUCUAUUAUCCUGCUCACAGUAUGCCAUACGCUAACGCAUAUUGUAUAGCGAUUUAACAAUACUCAGUAAUACUGUUGUGAAGUACAAAUACAAUACCUUAUAGAAAUAGAUUACAUCUGUAGUUUCAUAGGUGCAGCCAUACUGUCCUCGAUAUAUCGAUAAUCAAUCGAUAAGGUUGAAUGUAUCGAUUAAAAAGGCUGAUAGACAAUCGGUUUACGAAAUAUUUGUUUGGUUAAUGAAAAGUACUCUAAAAUGCAUGGAUUUGAAUUCUUCUACUAAUUAGAAACUAGAGGUAUAAUUUUAUGAACAUCUUUGGAAUGCGCUGGUGAUCUAAUGCUAAUGAUUGCGUUUAAAUGAGAACAGAUGGCGCUGCCUGUCUCGUUUUGCUCUAGAAAGUCUAUUAUAAACUCCAGAAACUAGAAUCAUAAUUAUGCAGUCUGAGUAAAUUGUACAAAAAAAUAAUGUCUGCCUUGAAUGCUUUUGUGGGUAGACUCACGAUAAUCAAUUGAAGCUGUAACUAGCCAUAGUAGCUUUUACCUAAUUAUGUAGCGGAGGGAAGAAAUAAAAAAAAAUAUAGUC